UCCUCCCAGAUUCAGCAGAGAUACACCGGCCCGGAUGCUCAGAGGAAAGUUAGACAAACAGGGAUUUCCAUUGGCGGUUUAUUGAGAUUCAACGAUUAAUAAGAUAAGACACAACAAAAAAUGUCUUCAUCACCAGAGUUUGACAGAGACAGCCAUACAGAUGAUGAAAGCAACAAUAAUCAGCUGUUGGAUCUUAAUUUUCCAGAAACAGAUGUGACUUUGGUCGUGGAGGGUAGAAAAAUUCACGUCAGUAAGGCUGUUGUCCUUUCUCAACAUUCACCUGUGUUUCAAGCCAUGUUUUCUGGACAUUUUAAGGAAAGUACACAAAAGGAGGUACUACUUCAGGACAAAAGAUACCAAGAUGUUGUAGAAUUUCUUCGAUGUUUUUAUCCCAACAUGAAACAUGAUGUCACAG
Molecule: long non-coding RNA, 415 nt
Organism: Saccostrea cuccullata (small rock oyster)
Lineage: Eukaryota; Metazoa; Mollusca; Bivalvia; Ostreida; Ostreidae
Exons: 2
Source: RefSeq, a predicted model, not a curated record